CCCUUAGAUGUUCUGGGCCGCACGCGCGCUACACUGAUGCAUUCAACGAGCCUAUCCUUGGCAGAAGUGCCCGGGUAAUCUUUGAAACUGCAUCGUGAUGGGGAUAGAUUAUUGCAAUUAUUAGUCUUCAACGAGGAAUGCCUAGUAAGCGCGAGUCAUCAGCUCGCGUUGAUUACGUCCCUGCCCUUUGUACACACCGCCCGUCGCUCCUACCGAUUGGGUGUGCUGGUGAAGUGUUCGGAUUGGCUCCUAUUGGUGGCAACACUGAUUGGAGCCGAGAAGAUCAUUAAACCCUCCCACCUAGAGGAAGGAGAANUCGUAACA
This 324-nucleotide ribosomal RNA is filed under the name uncultured eukaryote. RNAcentral's name for it is "partial 18S ribosomal RNA". It matches the Rfam family "Eukaryotic small subunit ribosomal RNA", at positions 1470 to 1796 of the family's 1831-position model. The record is from RNAcentral.